Molecule: long non-coding RNA, 1074 nt
Organism: Panicum virgatum (switchgrass)
Lineage: Eukaryota; Viridiplantae; Streptophyta; Magnoliopsida; Poales; Poaceae
Exons: 2
Source: RefSeq, a predicted model, not a curated record
ACCCUCGCCGCCACAUUGCAGCCCUCGACGACCCUCGCCGCUGCCUCGCAGCCCUCGACGACGGCCCUCGCGCCGCCGCGGGUCGACCGCGCAGCCGCGGGUCCGGCCGCCGCGCUCGGCAGUCCUCCCCGGCUCCCUGCUCAUCCUCGUGCCGCCGCGGGUCCUCGACGCCGGCCCUCCCGCCGCCGGCCCUCGCAGCCCUCGACGCCAGGCCUCGCGCCGCCGCGGGUAACGCGCGCCGCCGCGGGUCCGGCCGCCGCGCUCGGCAGUCCUCCCCUGCUCCCUGCCCAUCCUCGCGCUCGGCAGUCCUCCCCGGCUCCCUGCCCAACAACCUCCCCGGCUCCCCCAUCCUUGCGCUCGGCUGCUGCCUCCCGUCGAUCCUGGCCAGCUCUCCAUCGGGACUCCACCUCUCCGUCGCGCCGCCCCAUCCGCUCAAGGUGCCCUCCAUGUGGGUGUUUGCAUCUCAAGAUAUGCCUAAAUGGCCUUUAACGGUUCUUCCACUUGGAUGCGAACCCACGGCGGAUGUGAGGAGCUCCGGCCCAUGCUCAAAGUAAGCAAGGGUAUCCAGUCUGCAGGAAUCAGGGCCAAAUUCCUCUCCGCUUCCCUGAUGCCAAAAAAUCUUCCUAGAGUUCGUGUGCAUGGUAGAGGCCAAGGAACAGGUGGUGGCCAGCACACUGUACCAUCAAGACAUGUACCAUCAAGACAUGGAUGAAGAAGGUAUGUGAGACCAAGGUCCGGGUCAAGCUAGGGCUCAAUUUCAGGGAGAUUCAGUGCUUCAUCCUCAAAGUGGAUGCCAAUUGCCAACAUCUUCAACAAGGCCAACCUUAGCGCCAGGAAAGGUUGUUGCUCCCUAUCGUUAGAUCAUUCUAUUGCUUGGGUCAGGAACUGCGUGGUCAAUGCAAGGUAUUUGUAGAAACUAAGUGUUAGUUGUUGGACAUGUGCCAUGUCUUCCUUCAAAUCGAGAACAGUAAAAGGUACAACUCAUAGAGUAUGAGGAUUGGUACUGAUCUGGUUUGGAUCGAAUGAUCAGUGGCACAUUAUUUUGAAUAUCUAAAUGAAUCAUGUUUUGUGGUC